CUCGGAGGGAUCAUUAGCGAGUUAAUUACAAAACUCCAAAACCCAUGUGAACCUAUAUUGUUGCCUCGGCAGGUCGUGCUGCACGGGAGGAAAGCUACCCUGGAGGACUUACCCUGGAGUACCUACCCUGGAGUAGGUACCCCGGAGUUAGGUACCCUGGAGGCCGGCCGCACCUACCCUGUAGUACUAAACCAGGCCUGUCAAAGGACCCCCAAACUCUGUUUUAUACUGUAUCUCUGAGUCUAUUACACAAAUAAGUUAAAACUUUCAACAACGGAUCUCUUGGUUCUGGCAUCGAUGAAGAACGCAGCGAAAUGCGAUAAGUAAUGUGAAUUGCAGAAUUCAGUGAAUCAUCGAAUCUUUGAACGCACAUUGCGCCUAGCAGUAUUCUGCUAGGCAUGCCUGUUCGAGCGUCAUUUCAACCCCCAAGCCCUAUCUGCUUGACGUUGGGAACUUACGGAGACGUAAUUCCUCAAAUAUAGUGGCGGAGCCGGGUCGUGCUCUAAGCGUAGUAAACUCCAUUCUCGGUUCUGAGGCCGGCCCGGGUCCCGCCGUAAAACCCCCCUAUAUUAUACUGGUUGACCUCGGAUCAGGUAGGAAUACCCGCUGAACUUAAGCAU
This 620-nucleotide ribosomal RNA is filed under the name Xylariaceae sp. F7. Its description in RNAcentral is "eukaryotic LSU rRNA". The stretch from base 263 to 416 matches the Rfam family "5.8S ribosomal RNA". Lineage: Eukaryota; Fungi; Ascomycota; Sordariomycetes; Xylariales; Xylariaceae. The record is from RNAcentral.